GAUGAACGCUGGCGGCGUGCCUAAUACAUGCAAGUCGAGCGAACAGACGAGGAGCUUGCUCCUCUGACGUUAGCGGCGGACGGGUGAGUAACACGUGGAUAACCUACCUAUAAGACUGGGAUAACUUCGGGAAACCGGAGCUAAUACCGGAUAACAUGUUGAACCGCAUGGUUCAACAGUGAAAGACGGUUUUGCUGUCACUUAUAGAUGGAUCCGCGCCGCAUUAGCUAGUUGGUAAGGUAACGGCUUACCAAGGCAACGAUGCGUAUCCGACCUGAGAGGGUGAUCGGCCACACUGGAACUGAGACACGGUCCAGACUCCUACGGGAGGCAGCAGUAGGGAAUCUUCCGCAAUGGGCGAAAGCCUGACGGAGCAACGCCGCGUGAGUGAAGAAGGUCUUCGGAUCGUAAAACUCUGUUAUUAGGGAAGAACAAAUGUGUAAGUAACUAUGCACGUCUUGACGGUACCUAAUCAGAAAGCCACGGCUAACUACGUG
Molecule: ribosomal RNA, 497 nt
Filed under: uncultured bacterium
Lineage: Bacteria
Description: partial 16S ribosomal RNA
Rfam family: Bacterial small subunit ribosomal RNA
Source: RNAcentral